Molecule: long non-coding RNA, 4192 nt
Organism: Armigeres subalbatus
Lineage: Eukaryota; Metazoa; Arthropoda; Insecta; Diptera; Culicidae
Exons: 5
Source: RefSeq, a predicted model, not a curated record
CGAACAGUAAAGACGAGAAAACUCCAAAGUGAAUUUUAAAAGUGAUUUAAACCUAAUUAAAAGUAAAUCUAUUUUCACAGUUUUCUAAAGUGGUUAAAAUUGCCCUAAAAGUCGUGAGUCGUGUUUCCAAGGAAUUCCUUAAACAGGAAGUGAGUCGUGAGUCGGAAUAAACGCUUUAUUACCAAAGAAUUGUAUAAAAAAAAAAACGUGAGUCUCUAGCUGUGACCACGUUUGAGCAUUGGGUGUCGGUGGUGAGUUUGUGGAGGUUAGGACCGCUGGUCCUCUCGGAGCACCGGCAAGCGAUCUAUAUGCCGGCUCCCUGUGUCUAGCCAAAAGGUUUAUUACGUUGUGCUAUCGAUUAGACUGUGGGCGAUCCCCUGUGUAUGUUCUUCGCCUCGUGGCUGCGGCCACUAAGAGCAUAUGCAGAGAGCGUGGUCAUCGAAUGAAUAGUGUUGGCCUCGUAAGAACCACCCGUUACCCAAGUGGUCCCCGAAAUCUGCGAGAGAUUCUGCAUGGGGAAAGCUUGCCACAGCCAGUGUGUAUCGCCCUGACUCACGCCCCGGGAUAGAAGAAUCAGAUCUAAUCGCACUUCGACUCACUUCCCCGCAUAAACCCCACUGGCUCCAUCAUCGGUACGUCGGACCAAGAACUCUGUGCCGACGAACACAUCAAUCGACGCACCUGUGCGGCCAGUACAACCGACCGCCAACCGUCGUCCUCUCCAUAACGUGCUAGACGUCGAUCUCUCCCGCCAUCCGCAAGCCGGCGGCGACGCAAUAACCGAUCCCUAGACGGGUCGACUCGCCUUCGACGGUGCAAUCUCAGCGAAAACCCGAUCGGCACAUGGACGCACCUGCUACCUAGCCAGUGGUCAGCACAGACAAGCUCAACAGUUGUAAGUACCCGAAACAGCACUCUAUUGCACCUACACGAUCAAGCACCCUCGCCACUAUCGUUAAAACCGAUCAUUGUAAAUAGAAAUUAAGAGCAAAAAGUAGCAUGCAAAAAUAACUAACGACUCACAGAGCUCAAAUAGAACACACAUGUACAAGUGACGUCACAUUAGGCAAAAUUUAGAAUUUUGAAUGCAGUCAGACUGCCUUGAAGUAUGUCGUACCAAAUUAGCAUCUUUGCCGGUAAUAAACCAUGUUUUUUUUAAACCUGAAAGUAGCCUUGAACACAAAUUACCAACCCUAGAAAUUAAAUAACCGUUUUCAUGAAACAUUUUCUUUUAAUGGGUUCAUUACACUAGAAAAAUAAAUUUUUUGAAUAAAUCUAAUGUGCAUCAGACUUAAACUAAAGGAUUUUGGAAUUUUUAUUAAUUGAAUUUGGGAAAGAUAAUCUAGUUUGGGUGGGAAUUUGGUUUUGUUGGAACGUGUCGAUUAUCAGUAGGAUCCGUAAGAGGAAAUAAUUUAGCUAGCUGGGCAAUUUGACCAGAAACUCUGGCAGACGGCUUCCACCGUCUGGCGCAUAAGCCAGGUUUUAGGAAACCCCUUACGAACCCUCUUACAAAUGGCGCCCAACGUGGGGCCAUUCCCAAGAGCCAAGAAAACAGGAAAUACCUGUCUUCUAGUAAUUGUUGAUAUUUUUACUAAGUUUGUAAUAAUACAACCUUUAAAAGAGGCAAAAACAAAACAACUAGUGUUCUUCCUCGAAAACAUGGUUUUCCUCUUAUUUGGAGUUCCCGAGGUUAUUUUAUCAGACAAUGGCGCUCAAUUUAGCGCUAAAGAAUACAAAGCUUUACUUGAAAAAUAUGGAAUUAGUCAAUGGAUGACACCAGUAUAUUUUCCCCAAGUUAAUAAUGCGGAAAGGACAAAUCGGGUUAUAACUUCGGCUAUACGGUCAUUGAUACAAAAAGAGCAAGAUCAUUGGGAUGAAAAUAUUUAUAAAAUUGCUAACGCAAUCAACAAUGCUUCACACGCAUCAAGUGGGUUUUCUCCUUAUUUUGUCAAUUUCGGUAGAAAUCAGAUCAGUUCUGGGGAGGAAUAUCAGCAUUUAAGGGACACCAAUAAUGGUGUUACGCCAACAGAAAAAGAACAUUCUGAAAAAAUGGCAAACAUUUACGAAAACGUUAGAAGGAAUUUGAAAAUAGCUUAUGACAAAUAUUCUAAAUAUUACAACCUCAGAUCUGGGAAAAUAUUUGAAUUCGAAGAAGGUGAAAAAAUUCUAAAAAAGAAUCACCUUCUGUCCGACAAGUCGAAAGCUUUCAAUGCUAAAUUGGCCCCCAAAUUUUCGGAAGCAAUCAUCAAAAGAAAAGUUGGAGAGGUGUGCUAUAUUUUGCAAGAUAUGAAUGGAAAAUCACUAGGACUGUACCACGUAUCCCAACUGAAAAAGUUGUAAAUAAGAAUAAGUAAACAAGCUAUGAAAAAACAAAAUACUAAGCCAUGAGAAUUAAAAUCUCGGCACAAAAAUACGUUUAAUCGGGAAAUGAAAGAAAAUAAGAAGAAAAUGGAAACAUGAAAAAUUUAGUGAAUAAUUAUAAAGAAUACCACAAGCUAUGAAAAAAAUACAAAGCAGACAAAAUGCAACUCUCACAUAAAAUAUGUGACAUAGGAACUAAAGAAAAAAAAAAUGAAAUAAUAAAAAUAAUAAAAAUACAAUGACAUAAAAUAAGAACAUAAAUAAAAAAAAUCAAAUGGAGUAAUUACAAAGCUAUGUACAAAAACUACUACUGCUAUGAUGCAUAACAAGAAUUAAUUGAAUUGGAAAUUAGAAGAAGUUUAGAAAGCUAUGUAAAUAAACAAAGAAAACUAUUCUCUAAUAGCCAAGAAAACACGAACAAUCGGAAUCAGAAAAAUUAGAAGUGAAUCGGUUUAGUCAAGGCAAUGGUUCCCAAUCAAAAAACUGAAAGAGAAUAAGAAUAUCUACUUACCAAAAAUCACAAAAUUUUCAUACAUUGGAAACCAAACUUUGGCGUAAAAUGAUUCCUCGACAAUAUUUGUGCUAAAAGAAAACAAGUUGUAAAUAUGUAAAUAAAAUUGUUGCUAUGACCAAUGGACUAUAUUGAAGGCUUUGCGUCUUUUAAAGAAAAGAUUACAAAGUAUGUCAGAUUUUUCGGUUGACUCAGUAAAGAUUCGAUCGAAUCUAGACACAGAGAUCAACCAAUGUAUAAUAAAAAAGUAGAAGAUGAGGCUUGAAAUAUAUGGAAUUGAAGGUUUGAAUUCAUAGAUGCAACUAGAAUGAAAUGGAAUUCGAUUAGAAUAUUUAAAUCUGUAAAUAGGAUACUUACAUUUUUGGUGAAGCAGAUAAAUUUCCACAUCCAAAAUACAUCAUACAAGGUCAAUAACCCAGAUCAUACAUGUAGUUCACCUGCACAAUAGACAGCAGUACGGACUGCUUGCAUUGACAUACCGAUACCGACUAUAACGUUCAGAAGUUCAAUAGACGCAAUAAUCAAGACUCACAAAUGUAAUAAAAUUAACCCGAGAGAGAUGUAGAUUAUACAGGGAGUAGGAGAGUAGGGUGAUAUUUAAUACUUCAAGAGAAGAUUUUCGUAUCCGUAUCAUAAUAUGGUAUAUAGAUUUGGGAAUUGGUAGAUACAUUUUUCUAAUCACCAAUACGAAUAAUGAUGAGAUUCAUCCGUUUUUGAGCUGAUUUAGAUAUGUACAGAUAUCGUUCGGUUUUCCAGUAAAUGUAUUGGAGUAAACUAUUUGAUUGCGAAAGUUUCCAAUAAAUAUAUUGGAGUCAAAAGUGUUAGCCUCAGUUAGUAUCGAAUAAAUGAUCCUGAAAGCAUGGAUCUCGGGUCCGUUCCAAGAAAUUUCCGUUUAAUAAGUUUAAGAAUAUCGGUUCGGUUUUGCAUAGUUAAGAAUUUCGGAUGAUAGUUAGUUUAGUGGAAGAUAGUUUAAGUGUUAAUUAUGAUAAUGAAAAAAAUUGUUGCACAAUUUUUGGGGAAAGUGGGGGAUGAUGAAACAGACUUGCAGUAGUUUCAUGGACAUCCCGAGUUUUAAAAUGAAUUUGCGCCUGGUUGGCAGACUACCAUAGAAUAAGUGCUCGAAUCAUUUUGCAGUGGGAAUUAAGUGGGGAUGGGUAUAGCGUAGUUUAUGAUGAAACUGGUAGCUUAUCAGCUAUUUUCACAGUUUUCUAAAGUGGUUAAAAUUGCCCUAAAAGUCGUGAGUCGUGUUUCCAAGGAAUUCCUUAAACAGUAAGAUUAAGUGACAAGUAAAGUAGAAUGGUUUUUAAUCAGUCUUAAUUA